This is an RNA transcript of Mus musculus (house mouse), 2771 nucleotides long. It is a transcript of the gene named NK2 homeobox 2, with no coding region annotated. The transcript has 6 exons. Lineage: Eukaryota; Metazoa; Chordata; Mammalia; Rodentia; Muridae. The record is from RefSeq and is marked validated.
UGUCCCCGCAGCGCGGGGAGUGGGAGGCGGAACGGGCGCGUCCAGCGCCUUGUCAGCCUCCUCCCCACCGCCCCCGCCCCCGGGGCUCUUCGACUUUGCUGGCUGCAGUGAGGAAGGACGCGCCGCGGCCCCCACCUUUGAGGGGUGAGUCUCCUGGUGCGCGCCGCUGGUGACUCACGAUUCAGCUUGGUAAGCAGAGGCCAGAAUACCAAGGAAUUUGGAGAUGGCGCCUAAUGAGAAAGGAAGGUUCCUUCUGGGGCGGAACUGGCACGCGAGUGGCUCCGGGAGCCGUAAGGAGCUGGAGGGUUCGUGAGUGGAGCCCAGCCUUAUAUGGACUGAUCGCUCAGGCAAUGGCCCAUUUUUUCCUCGCCACCAGCCGCCACCGCGCGCGGAGCGGCCGCCGGAGCCGGAGCUGACGGCACCUUGGCACCUCUCCUGGAGUUACAAACUGAGGCCGCGCGGCGCUGGGCGCGCAGGCCCCCAGUCACAGCCUACAUUUCUGCGUGCUUUCCGAGAAGAGAGAGGCACCGGGUGGGCUUUAUUUUUUUUCCCCUUUCCCUUUUCCCCCCACAGUGUCCUCUCAUUUUAAAUAAUAAUUAUCCCAAUAAUUAAAACCCAUCCCCCAUCCCUCCCCCCAUUCCUUUCCUUAAACCCCCCUCCCCCGCCCGCUGGGGCUGGGGAGAGCCACGAAUUGACCAAGUGAGGCUACAACUUUGUGGCAUAAAUUGCGGGGUCCGGAACCAUGUCGCUGACCAACACAAAGACGGGGUUUUCAGUCAAGGACAUCUUGGACCUUCCGGACACCAACGAUGAAGACGGCUCGGUGGCCGAAGGGCCAGAGGAGGAGAGCGAAGGGCCGGAGCCCGCCAAGAGGGCCGGGCCGCUGGGGCAGGGCGCCCUGGACGCUGUGCAGAGCCUGCCCCUUAAGAGCCCUUUCUACGACAGCAGCGACAACCCCUACACUCGCUGGCUGGCCAGCACCGAGGGCCUCCAAUACUCCCUGCACGGGCUGGCGGCCAGCGCUCCCCCCCAAGACUCGAGCUCCAAAUCCCCAGAGCCCUCGGCUGACGAGUCACCGGACAAUGACAAGGAGACCCAGGGCGGCGGGGGGGACGCAGGCAAGAAGCGGAAGCGCCGAGUGCUCUUCUCCAAAGCGCAGACCUACGAGCUGGAGCGGCGCUUCCGGCAGCAGCGGUACCUGUCGGCGCCCGAGCGCGAGCACCUGGCCAGCCUCAUCCGUCUCACGCCGACACAGGUCAAGAUCUGGUUCCAGAACCAUCGCUACAAGAUGAAACGUGCCCGGGCGGAGAAAGGGCAUCGUUAUUAAAAGAGGUGAAUAGGUCUCAGCGCCGCCAUCAGAGCAAGUGCGGAAAGGAGGGCUUGCAAGCGAACGUUUCCAAUGCUCCGAGAACCACGUGGGCAUUUCAAAACCGACGGAUGGAUGCCAGGAUCGAAGCUGCGGUGCCCAUAGUGUCCGCAAGGUGGAGCGAUUGGAUAAGAAAACAAUUUCAGGUCGGGCGACUGACUCAGGCCUGGGAGCACAAUCUGGUCAUCUGUGGAUUUGAGGGAUGUCUGGGUAAAGUCCAUUUACAGUAGGACCACAAUGCCAAAGAAAGAAUUACAAUUCUUUGGCUUGGUGCUUGUCCCUUGGAGUGUGAUGAAAAGGUUGAUGGCAUUCAACCUUUUUCUUUCGUCUGCCUUGUGGAUGUCAACUGUCUCUGUUACUGUCACCACCACAAUUGAAGCAUAUAUUUCCACCUCUUCAAAAUGUUUCCUGUGCCAGGAAAAUGUAAUUUAUUCUAAUAAAAAAUAACCUGACACUUGUUAGUCAAUUGGAAGACAUAGGAGGGAUCUCUUUCUUUCUGUUUUUCUUUAUCUGGGGUAAUUUAGAGCCUUUCUUCAUAAAGUGCUAAGAAACAGUGGCAGGUCUCUGAUGUCACCACCAUCUACCACUUUUGAAGGCACCUCCCAGGUUCCUCUCCUACAUCACCUCGUCUGGUGUGAGCAAUCAAUUCACUUUACAUGUGAGACUGGGUUUCACAGGUUACACUCCCAACACACACGAACCCAGAAAAAAGCCCCAAGAGCAGAGGGCCCACCUCGAAGGCAUUCCAUGCCAUUUCUGGUGAAGACAGGGAGGGACUGGGGAGAAAGGUUCCCUCCUGCUCUGCAGAAUUAGCUUGGAAUCACCUACCAGGUUCCUGUUAGCAGCCACACACAGGUCCCAGAGUCCUCCAAGUUCUUAGUAUUUUACCUGUAUGUAUGUUUGUACACCAUGUGCAUGCCUGGUGCCCACAGAGAUCAGAAGAGUUCUUCAAAUAUCCCUGGACCUGGAGUUGAGGAUGCUUGUGAUCCACCAUGUGGAUGCUGGGAACCAAAUCUGGGUACUCUGCAAGAGAAACAAGUGCUUCUUAAUGCCCUAUCUCCAGCCCCUGGAAAGAGAAACUUUAAUGAGACUUGCAGCCUCCGCAGAGUGAGCAAUCGUUCUCUUCUCCAAAGCCCCUGGUCUUCAUGCUGCCCGUGCUCCCUCAUCAACUGUACACAGGAGGUCCUGCAGAUCAGCCCUGCCCCUCUCUCAUCAACUGUACACAGGAGGUCCUGCAGAUCAGCCCUGCCCCUCUCUCAUCAACUGUACACAGGAGGUCCUGCAGAUCAGCCCUGCCCAUGUAUCUGCUUUAUCCACCUUAGACUUUCUUGUGUUUUUGUUGUUGUUGUUGUUGUUGUUGUUUUAAAAUAGUUUUGUACUUAUUCUUUAACAAUUGUCUAACCUA